This 493-nucleotide ribosomal RNA is filed under the name uncultured bacterium. RNAcentral's name for it is "partial 16S ribosomal RNA". It matches the Rfam family "Bacterial small subunit ribosomal RNA", at positions 28 to 507 of the family's 1533-position model. The record is from RNAcentral.
GACGAACGCUGGCGGCGUGCUUAACACAUGCAAGUCGAACGGUGAAGCGCCUUCCUUUUUGGUGGGUGUGGAUGAGUGGCGAACGGGUGAGUAACACGUGAGUAACCUGCCCCCUUCUUCUGGAUAACCGCAUGAAAGUGUGGCUAAUACGGGAUAUUCUGGGUCUGUCGCAUGAUGGGUCUGGGAAAGAUAUUGUUUCGGUGGGGGAUGGGCUCGCGGCCUAUCAGCUUGUUGGUGGGGUGAUGGCCUACCAAGCGGUGACGGGUAGCCGGCCUGAGAGGGUGGACGGUCACACUGGGACCGAGACACGGCCCAGACUCCUACGGGAGGCAGCAGUGGGGAAUAUUGCACAAUGGGCGCAAGCCUGAUGCAGCGACGCCGCGUGAGGGAUGGAGGCCUUCGGGUUGUGAACCUCUUUCGCCAGUGAAGCAGGCCUGCCUCGUUUGUGGGUGGGUUGACGGUAGCUGGAUAAGAAGCGCCGGCUAACUACGUG